Non-coding RNA from Neocucurbitaria cava, 98 nucleotides. Lineage: Eukaryota; Fungi; Ascomycota; Dothideomycetes; Pleosporales; Cucurbitariaceae. The record is from the annotation of a GenBank genome assembly.
GGCGAGGUGGUGUAGUGGCUAACACGACUGGUCGACAGCAAACGCCCGUUGGUGUGCGCUGCGCCGGUAGCCGCGGGUUCAAGUCCCAGCCCUCGCCC